UUGACCUCAAAUCAGGUAGGACUACCCGCUGAACUUAAGCAUAUCAAUAAGCGGAGGAAAAGAAACUAACAAGGAUUCCCCUAGUAACUGCGAGUGAAGAGGGAAAAGCUCAAAUUUUGAAUCUGGCAGUCUUAAUUGAUUGUCCGAAUUGUAAUCUAGAGAAGCGUCUUCCGCGCUGGACCGUG
RNAcentral lists this ribosomal RNA (185 nucleotides) under Octaviania celatifilia. Its description in RNAcentral is "partial 28S ribosomal RNA". It matches the Rfam family "Eukaryotic large subunit ribosomal RNA", at positions 1 to 179 of the family's 3401-position model. The record is from RNAcentral. Lineage: Eukaryota; Fungi; Basidiomycota; Agaricomycetes; Boletales; Boletaceae.